Cucurbita maxima (winter squash) is the source of this 252-nucleotide long non-coding RNA. RefSeq lists it as uncharacterized. The record is from RefSeq and is a predicted model, not a curated record. The transcript has 3 exons. NCBI's taxonomy places the organism in Eukaryota, Viridiplantae, Streptophyta, Magnoliopsida, Cucurbitales, Cucurbitaceae.
UCUGUGUACUGUUUCAAUCGUUUUUAGAGGAAAUGCUUCCUUGUCCAGGUGGAUGAUUAUUCACGCACGAGUGUACCUAGUAUAUGGGCUGUUGGAGAUGUUACUAAUCGAAUGAAUCUUACGCCCGUGGCUUUAAUGGAGGGAUCAUUCUUUGCAAACACUGUUUUUGGUGGUGAACCUACCAAACCAGAUUACAAUCAUGUGCCCUAUGCUGUAUUCUGCAUACCUCCUCUCUCUGUUGUGGGCCUAAGU